This 465-nucleotide ribosomal RNA is filed under the name Vreelandella stevensii. RNAcentral describes it as "partial 16S ribosomal RNA". It matches the Rfam family "Bacterial small subunit ribosomal RNA", at positions 338 to 795 of the family's 1533-position model. The record is from RNAcentral. Lineage: Bacteria; Pseudomonadati; Pseudomonadota; Gammaproteobacteria; Oceanospirillales; Halomonadaceae.
CCUACGGGGGGCAGCAGUGGGGAAUAUUGGACAAUGGGGGGAACCCUGAUCCAGCCAUGCCGCGUGUGUGAAGAAGGCCCUCGGGUUGUAAAGCACUUUCAGUGAGGAAGAACGCCUGGUGGUUAAUACCCAUCAGGAAAGACAUCACUCACAGAAGAAGCAACGGCUAACUCCGUGCCAGCAGCCGCGGUAAUACGGAGGGUGCGAGCGUUAAUCGGAAUUACUGGGCGUAAAGCGCGCGUAGGUGGCUUGAUAAGCCGGUUGUGAAAGCCCCGGGCUCAACCUGGGAACGGCAUCCGGAACUGUCAAGCUAGAGUGCAGGAGAGGAAGGUAGAAUUCCCGGUGUAGCGGUGAAAUGCGUAGAGAUCGGGAGGAAUACCAGUGGCGAAGGCGGCCUUCUGGACUGACACUGACACUGAGGUGCGAAAGCGUGGGUAGCAAACAGGAUUAGAUACCCGGGUAGUC